This 253-nucleotide ribosomal RNA is filed under the name uncultured bacterium. Its description in RNAcentral is "partial 16S ribosomal RNA". It matches the Rfam family "Bacterial small subunit ribosomal RNA", at positions 524 to 776 of the family's 1533-position model. The record is from RNAcentral.
UACGUAGGGUGCGAGCGUUAAUCGGAAUUACUGGGCGUAAAGCGUGCGCAGGCGGUUUUGUAAGCCAGAUGUGAAAUCCCCGGGCUUAACCUGGGAAUGGCAUUUGGGACUGCAAGGCUGGAGUGCGGCAGAGGAGACUGGAAUUCCUGGUGUAGCAGUGAAAUGCGUAGAUAUCAGGAGGAACACCGAUGGCGAAGGCAGGUCUCUGGGCUGACACUGACGCUCAUGCACGAAAGCGUGAGGAGCAAACAGG